UACGUAGGGUGCAAGCGUUGUCCGGAAUCAUUGGGCGUAAAGAGCGUGUAGGCGGCCAGAUAAGUCCUCUGUGAAAUCUCGAGGCUCAACUUCGAGCUGUCGGUGGAAACUGUCUGGCUAGAGUCCGGAAGAGGAGAAUGGAAUUCCUGGUGUAGCGGUGAAAUGCGUAGAUAUCUGGAGGAACACCGGUGGCGAAGGCGGCAUCCUGGACCAAUAUUGACGCUGAGGAGCGAAAGCCAGGGGAGCAAACGGG
RNAcentral lists this ribosomal RNA (253 nucleotides) under uncultured bacterium. RNAcentral's name for it is "partial 16S ribosomal RNA". It matches the Rfam family "Bacterial small subunit ribosomal RNA", at positions 524 to 776 of the family's 1533-position model. The record is from RNAcentral.